UUGUACAGUACCAUCCCUUGCUAUACCUGCACACGUAUACACACUCACACAUGUGUCAACAUUGUCAGGAUCCAGUUCCAGCUCCUGUUUCAAGGAAAGAGGGGAAUUCUACUAACAAACCCAUUCCCACAAGGAAGAGGCCUGCAAGAAACCCAUACCUGUCAUGGAACUUUCAUUCUAGCCCAACCUAUAUUUUUGGUCUCUAUAAUAUAUUAUGACAUCCCACAUCUUCCUUCAUUUCACAGCUCCCUGAGGCCAGAGCUUGGAAGCUUAGCUGCUAGGAAUGUUAUCAUGACAUGUCUAUUCUGGAGAAAGGAAGGAAAGAAAGAAGUCCCAUAAGAGUGAGCGACCAAAGAUAUAAGAAGGGGAAGAAGAGCUAGCCCUGAUAAAUCCAUCUUUUCCUUUGAGCCUUUGUUGAAUUACCACCUCCUUGGUCCUUCACCUGGUACAAAUCAUGGGCAUCUCUGCUCAGUGAAUGGAGAAAGAUCUGCAUCCUCAACAAUCAGCUCCUGGUAUCUACACGAGCAGCAGGAUGAGCAAAGGUGAAUUUAACAAGAAAAGCAGAGAAUGUCAUAGGAUAAAAAAAAAAUCUACUUCCUUCAAAACAAUAAAAGAAAGAGGAAUCUUCUGUUUCAUUCUUCUGAGAAGAUAAAUGGUGAUGUUUCACCAACAGACUACUAUCCAUCACUAGAAAUUAUUCAUUUUGUCUCUAAAACCUAUCAUGUGCCCUCCUAAUCUGCUCUCAAAUGUUGGAGGAUACUUCAGAGCAGAUCUGAGACUGCAGGAGUUUGCAGAGAUGGAAGAGGAAGCUCUGUCAUGAGUGGAAAUUUAUUGACAUGAUGAAUAUCAACCCUGUGCUAUUUACAUUUUUCAGAAUACCCUAAAAUACAAGUAAAUUGAAUGAAAUAAAGUUAUCACUUGUAUAAGUACUUUUAUUAAGGUCAUUGGGCUAGUGAAGUAUAGAGUUCUUCAAAUGUAUUUAGUGUAGCAAAGCACAAAGUGGGGGAAGUUCCAUUCAACAGAACAAUUGUUCAACACAACAGCUGUGGAACAGAACUGGGCUCCGUGCUGUUUUCAGCAAUAUUUCAUCAGUCCAUGAACAGAUGCACUGAAUUAAAAACAAACACAGAGGAAAAAUAGAAGGAUGGAAAUCACAAGAGGCUUUGGGUUACACUAAUGAGGUAGCUUUAAUAAUAGGUUUAGUGCUGCUACUAAAGUUUGCAAAUCCACAUUAAAUACAGAGGUUGUGAGAAACUCAGAUAUUAUUCAGAAAAUUUCAUCAACCUUAUUUAGCCACAAUAAUUUUGUUACACACAUUUAUCUCCAGAAUUCUAUUCUGCCUUUCUUAAUGAUAACUACUCAGUUUAUACUCUCAUUAUAUUUGCAUUUUUAAGCCGGGUCCCACUGUGUGCCUUCUCUCACUUUACAUUGUUUCUUCUUUCAUUUUUUCUACCUUAUGGAACUACCAAAUAUUUUCCACAACUAUCUAUUUGGAAGCAGCCUCAGAUUAUUUCCUUAAUGUUUGUUUAAGCCAAACUUUUCCACAUUUUAUGAACUGUGUUUACAAGGCUUAAGUAAAUAUAUCUCGGUCUUGCCUUCCAGGAUUAUGUGCAAGCAGUACGUAACAAUCAGCAGAUUCAAUGACUUUUGUAACCUACCCGGCUUUUUCUGGGAUGUGGGUGACCCAAAACUAAAAAUGGAGACUUCUGGGAGAUUUUGAACCACUCAGUUGCACAGGAGCUAAAAGGUUGCAUUGUCACAAAAUCAGCCACAAGGGGAAGAAAAUUCACCAGGAACUAAUUGUCCAAAGCAUUCAUACUGGGAUUCCCUACCCAGUACUUUCUUUCUCUUCCCCCCACCCCCUCUCUCUCUCUGUUUGGCAGCAUGUUUUUUUUUCUCCAUCCUCCCAUUUCACCAAUUUGGGGAAAAAUAAUGGUAGGAGGCACUGAACAUAGUCAUAGAUAAGUAGUUAGGGCUACCAGAUUUCAAGGUCCCAAAACAAGAUAUUUGCAUAUUAAUUUGCAUAUCAAAUUUAAUCACUUAGUCCCAAAAAUUUCUGUUCAUAUCUUAAGUUGGGUUUUGUUAUUUUUUUCAAUCAAGUAUAACUCUUUUAAAAACAAAAACUCUUUAUUCAGUGUAUUUAGCAAAUAAUACAAGCACAUCCCCUAAGUGGCCACCUGAAGUGUUCA
Non-coding RNA from Python bivittatus (Burmese python), 2189 nucleotides. The record is from RefSeq and is a predicted model, not a curated record. Lineage: Eukaryota; Metazoa; Chordata; Lepidosauria; Squamata; Pythonidae.